This 620-nucleotide ribosomal RNA is filed under the name Janthinobacterium lividum. Its description in RNAcentral is "partial 23S ribosomal RNA". It matches the Rfam family "Bacterial large subunit ribosomal RNA", at positions 1082 to 1712 of the family's 2925-position model. The record is from RNAcentral. Lineage: Bacteria; Pseudomonadati; Pseudomonadota; Betaproteobacteria; Burkholderiales; Oxalobacteraceae.
GGCUAAAACAGUCAGGAUGUUGGCUUAGAAGCAGCCAUCAUUUAAAGAAAGCGUAAUAGCUCACUGAUCGAGUCGUCCUGCGCGGAAGAUGUAACGGGGCUAAGCCAGUCACCGAAGCUGCGGAUAUCCUUUAUUGGAUAUGGUAGGAGAGCGUUCUGUAAGCCUGCGAAGGUGUCUUGUAAAGGAUGCUGGAGGUAUCAGAAGUGCGAAUGCUGACAUGAGUAGCGAUAAUGGGGGUGAAAAGCCUCCACGCCGUAAGCCCAAGGUUUCCUGUUCAACGUUCAUCGGAGCAGGGUGAGUCGGCCCCUAAGGCGAGGCAGAGAUGCGUAGCUGAUGGGAAGCAGGUUAAUAUUCCUGCACCGUCGUAUGAUGCGAUGGGGGGACGGAUCGCGGAAGGUUGUCCAACUGUUGGAAUAGUUGGUUUUUGGCUCAUAGAAGGUACUUAGGCAAAUCCGGGUACGGAAUUCAAGGGGUUGAGACGAGUGAAUUUAUUCACGAAGCAAUCGGAAGUGGUUCCAAGAAAAGCCUCUAAGCUUCAGUCAUACGAGACCGUACCGCAAACCGACACAGGUGGGCGAGAUGAGUAUUCUAAGGCGCUUGAGAGAACUCGGGAGAAGGAA